RNAcentral lists this ribosomal RNA (403 nucleotides) under uncultured bacterium. Its description in RNAcentral is "bacterial SSU rRNA". It matches the Rfam family "Bacterial small subunit ribosomal RNA", at positions 355 to 784 of the family's 1533-position model. The record is from RNAcentral.
UCGAGAAUAAUUCACAAUGGGGGAACCCUCGAUGGUGCAACGCCGCGUGGAGGAUAAGGUCUUCGGAUCGUAAACUCCUGUCAUCUGGGAGCUAGUACCAGAAGAGGAAGGGACGGCUAACUUCGUGCCAGCAGCCGCGGUAAUACGAAGGUCCCAAGCGUUGUUCGGAAUCACUGGGCGUAAAGGGAGCGUAGGCGGCGUGGUAAGUCAGAUGUGAAAUCCCAAGGCUCAACCUUGGAACUGCAUCCGAUACUGCCAUGCUAGAGGUUUGGAGAGGUAACUGGAAUUCUCGGUGUAGCAGUGAAAUGCGUAGAUACCGAGAGGAACAUUCGUGGCGAAAGCGAGCUACUGGACUUUGGCUGACGCUGAGGCUCGAAGGCUAGGGAGCGAAAGGGAUUAGAUA